This 393-nucleotide ribosomal RNA is filed under the name uncultured bacterium. RNAcentral describes it as "bacterial SSU rRNA". It matches the Rfam family "Bacterial small subunit ribosomal RNA", at positions 8 to 429 of the family's 1533-position model. The record is from RNAcentral.
AGAGUUUGAUCCUGGCUCAGAGCGAACGCUGGCGGCAUGCUUAACACAUGCAAGUCGCACGGUCAGCAAUGGCAGUGGCGGACGGGUGAGUAACGCGUAGGAAUCUAUCUCUGGGUGGGGGACAACCGUGGGAAACUACGGCUAAUACCGCAUGAUACCUGAGGGUCAAAGGCGUAAGUCGCCUGGAGAGGAGCCUGCGUCUGAUUAGCUAGUUGGUGGGGUAAAGGCUUACCAAGGCGACGAUCAGUAGCUGGUCUGAGAGGAUGAUCAGCCACAUUGGGACUGAGACACGGCCCAAACUCCUACGGGAGGCAGCAGUGGGGAAUAUUGGACAAUGGGCGCAAGCCUGAUCCAGCAAUGCCGCGUGUGUGAAGAAGGUCUUCGGAUUGUAAA